AUUAACGCUAGCGGCAGGCAUAAUACAUGCAAGUUGAACGGCAGCACAGGUAGCAAUACCGGGUGGCGAGUGGCGCACGGGUGCGUAACACGUAUGCAACCUACCCUAUACAGGCGAAUAACCUUUAGAAAUGAGGGCUAAUACGCCGUGGUAUUAUCUUAGGGCAUCUUGAGAUAAUUAAGAUUCAUCGGUAUAGGAUGGGCAUGCGUCCCAUUAGUUAGUUGGUAGGGUAACGGCCUACCAAGGCUAUGAUGGGUAGGGG
This 262-nucleotide ribosomal RNA is filed under the name uncultured bacterium. Its description in RNAcentral is "partial 16S ribosomal RNA". It matches the Rfam family "Bacterial small subunit ribosomal RNA", at positions 29 to 289 of the family's 1533-position model. The record is from RNAcentral.